Molecule: ribosomal RNA, 115 nt
Filed under: Danio rerio (zebrafish)
Lineage: Eukaryota; Metazoa; Chordata; Actinopteri; Cypriniformes; Danionidae
Source: RNAcentral
ACCAGCAGCUAGCUCGCUGCAACUCUCACAUGGUCGUCCAUUGAAGCGAAGCAGCGCUGUGCCUGGUCAGUACCUGGAUGGAAGACCACAAGGGGAAGCUAGGUUGCUGCCGGAA